Molecule: long non-coding RNA, 612 nt
Organism: Toxorhynchites rutilus septentrionalis
Lineage: Eukaryota; Metazoa; Arthropoda; Insecta; Diptera; Culicidae
Exons: 2
Source: RefSeq, a predicted model, not a curated record
CUUUGUCUCUGCUUCUCCUCAUACACUUUGUGCGCUCGCUUAGCUUAGCUCAGCGGGCAGAGACUCUCAGUAGUUUGGCAAACGUUUAACAGAUAUGGUGCAGGUGCUUGCCUCGUUCACUCAAGAUGUCAACCGCGAGAUGAGUGAUUCGAAAAAGUGCUCUACAAAAAUGGUGCCUGACUACUCACUGAUCGAAAAAGGAUAACAACCCAGGCUUCCGGCUUAUCUAGACAUAAUCUGACCUCACAAAUCUUUGUUUUUCUGGAUGGAACCGACACCUCAGGACGCAAAACAACAUACGCUUCUCUCAUAAAUAGAAUCGAUUCGGUGAAUCCCCAACUCGGCGACGAAAGAAGAUAAAACGGAAAGCGAGACGCGAAAAUGGCACUUCCGAAGAUUAUUAUUGAGCUUAUGAGAAAAUCUGGCUGUCAAACGGUGGCACAUCUGAUAUCGACCAUUUCCGGCUUGUUGCUGGUUCUGACACUGGUUGCCCUUGAUGGAGAGUUUCAAUCCGAUUCGUCUGAUGGAAGCAGCAGCAGCAGCAGUGGCGGCAAUUUUUAUGGAAAACAUGAUUUCAAGAAGUUGAUCCAAUAAAAUUAUCGAUGAAAUUAA